CCUACGGGGGGCAGCAGUGGGGAAUAUUGCACAAUGGGGGAAACCCUGAUGCAGCGACGCCGCGUGAGUGAAGAAGUAAUUCGUUACGUAAAGCUCUAUCAGCAGGGAAGAAAUACUGACCUUACGGUCAGCAGACGGUACCUGAGUAAGAAGCCCCGGCUAACUACGUGCCAGCAGCCGCGGUAAUACGUAGGGGGCAAGCGUUAUCCGGAUUUACUGGGUGUAAAGGGAGCGUAGACGGUGUGCCAAGUCUGGGGUGAAAUGCCGCGGCUUAACUGCGGAACUGCUUUGGAAACUGGCGAACUAGAGUGCGGGAGGGGUAAGCGGAAUUCCUAGUGUAGCGGUGAAAUGCGUAGAUAUUAGGAGGAACACCGGUGGCGAAGGCGGCUUACUGGACCGUAACUGACGUUGAGGCUCGAAAGCGUGGGGAGCAAACAGGAUUAGAUACCCUAGUAGUC
This 458-nucleotide ribosomal RNA is filed under the name uncultured bacterium. Its description in RNAcentral is "partial 16S ribosomal RNA". It matches the Rfam family "Bacterial small subunit ribosomal RNA", at positions 338 to 795 of the family's 1533-position model. The record is from RNAcentral.